Molecule: long non-coding RNA, 407 nt
Filed under: Bos mutus (wild yak)
Lineage: Eukaryota; Metazoa; Chordata; Mammalia; Artiodactyla; Bovidae
Description: lncRNA (ENSBMUG00000012202.1)
Source: RNAcentral
AGGAUUUUCACAAGCACGCUUCUAGCCCAGAACCACAGAAGCCUGCUUCCUCUUCUCCCAGCCUGGACCCUCGGCCUUCAGGACUAGGGUGGGGAGUGGAUUUUAGAAGUGCGUAUCUGACUCGGGCAGGACUUUUCAGGAGUAUAAAUUAUUUUUGUCUUCCGGGUUUUAUUUGGACGUGUCCCGGGCAAAGACAAACGAUCCAGGCGGUCUUUCUGGACCCGUGCGAGGUCUGCACCCCGCGCCGGGCUCCCAGGAUGUGCGGGGUGGUGCAGAGAGGUGUCUCCCUCAAGCGCAAGCCAGAUCUGCAGUCUCCCUCCCACUGGCCGUCCUGCGUGGGUGCCAAGUUCCACACGGGGUCUCAUGGAUCGGCAGGAGAUGUCAGUGAAAGAAGGGGCACAGAAUGA